AUUGAACGCUGGCGGCAGGCCUAACACAUGCAAGUCGAGCGGAUGAAGGGAGCUUGCUCCUGGAUUCAGCGGCGGACGGGUGAGUAAUGCCUAGGAAUCUGCCUGGUAGUGGGGGAUAACGUCCGGAAACGGGCGCUAAUACCGCAUACGUCCUGAGGGAGAAAGUGGGGGAUCUUCGGACCUCACGCUAUCAGAUGAGCCUAGGUCGGAUUAGCUAGUUGGUGGGGUAAAGGCCUACCAAGGCGACGAUCGGUAAUUGGCCUGAGAGGAUGAUAAGUCACACUGGAACUGAGACACGGUCCAGACUCCUACGGGAGGCAGCAGUGGGGAAUAUUGGACAAUGGGCGAAAGCCUGAUCCAGCCAUGCCGCGUGUGUGAAGAAGGUCUUCGGAUUGUAAAGCACUUUAAGUUGGGAGGAAGGGCAGUAAGUUAAUACCUUGCUGUUUUGACGUUACCAACAGAAUAAGCACCGGCUAACUUCGUG
Molecule: ribosomal RNA, 484 nt
Filed under: uncultured bacterium
Lineage: Bacteria
Description: partial 16S ribosomal RNA
Rfam family: Bacterial small subunit ribosomal RNA
Source: RNAcentral